UCCUGGCUCAGAUUGAACGCUGGCGGCAUGCCUUACACAUGCAAGUCGAACGGUAACGCGGGGCAACCUGGCGACGAGUGGCGAACGGGUGAGUAAAGUAUCGGAACGUGCCCAAUAGGUGGGGGAUAGCCCGGCGAAAGCCGGAUUAAUACCGCAUGAGACCUGAGGGUGAAAGCGGGGGACUCGCAAGAGCCUCGCGCUGUUGGAGCGGCCGAUAUCAGAUUAGGUAGUUGGUGGGGUAAAGGCCUACCAAGCCGACGAUCUGUAGCUGGUCUGAGAGGACGACCAGCCACACUGGGACUGAGACACGGCCCAGACUCCUACGGGAGGCAGCAGUGGGGAAUUUUGGACAAUGGGCGCAAGCCUGAUCCAGCCAUGCCGCGUGCGGGAAGAAGGCCUCGGGUUGUAAACCGCUUUGUCAGGGAAGAAAUCCUUUGAGCUAAUACCUCGGAGGGAUGACGGUACCUGAAGAAUAAGCACCGGCUAACUACGUG
This 494-nucleotide ribosomal RNA is filed under the name uncultured bacterium. RNAcentral's name for it is "bacterial SSU rRNA". It matches the Rfam family "Bacterial small subunit ribosomal RNA", at positions 17 to 507 of the family's 1533-position model. The record is from RNAcentral.